AGUGAACGCUGGCGGUAGGCCUAACACAUGCAAGUCGAACGGCAGCACAGUAAGAGCUUGCUCUUACGGGUGGCGAGUGGCGGACGGGUGAGGAAUACAUCGGAAUCUACUUUUUCGUGGGGGAUAACGUAGGGAAACUUACGCUAAUACCGCAUACGACCUACGGGUGAAAGCAGGGGAUCUUCGGACCUUGCGCGAUUGAAUGAGCCGAUGUCGGAUUAGCUAGUUGGCGGGGUAAAGGCCCACCAAGGCGACGAUCCGUAGCUGGUCUGAGAGGAUGAUCAGCCACACUGGAACUGAGACACGGUCCAGACUCCUACGGGAGGCAGCAGUGGGGAAUAUUGGACAAUGGGCGCAAGCCUGAUCCAGCCAUACCGCGUGGGUGAAGAAGGCCUGCGGGUUGUAAAGCCCUUUUGUUGGGAAAGAAAAGCAGCAGGUUAAUACCCCGCUGUUCUGACGGUACCCAAAGAAUAAGCACCGGCUAACUGCGG
Molecule: ribosomal RNA, 491 nt
Filed under: uncultured bacterium
Lineage: Bacteria
Description: partial 16S ribosomal RNA
Rfam family: Bacterial small subunit ribosomal RNA
Source: RNAcentral